UACGAAGGGAGCUAGCGUUGUUCGGAAUCACUGGGCGUAAAGCGCACGUAGGCGGAUGUGUCAGUCAGGGGUGAAAUCCCGGAGCUCAACUUCGGAACUGCCUUUGAUACAGCACGUCUUGAGUCCGGAAGAGGUGGGUGGAGUUCCUAGUGUAGAGGUGAAAUUCGUAGAUAUUAGGAAGAACACCGGUGGCGAAGGCGGCCCACUGGUCCGGUACUGACGCUGAGGUGCGAAAGCGUGGGGAGCAAACAGG
This 253-nucleotide ribosomal RNA is filed under the name uncultured bacterium. RNAcentral describes it as "partial 16S ribosomal RNA". It matches the Rfam family "Bacterial small subunit ribosomal RNA", at positions 524 to 776 of the family's 1533-position model. The record is from RNAcentral.